RNAcentral lists this ribosomal RNA (484 nucleotides) under uncultured bacterium. RNAcentral describes it as "partial 16S ribosomal RNA". It matches the Rfam family "Bacterial small subunit ribosomal RNA", at positions 30 to 507 of the family's 1533-position model. The record is from RNAcentral.
AUUGAACGCUGGCGGCAGGCCUAACACAUGCAAGUCGAGCGGAUGAAGGGAGCUUGCUCCUGGAUUCAGCGGCGGACGGGUGAGUAAUGCCUAGGAAUCUGCCUGGUAGUGGGGGAUAACGUCCGGAAACGGGCGCUAAUACCGCAUACGUCCUGAGGGAGAAAGGGGGGGAUCUUCGGACCUCACGCUAUCAGAUGAGCCUAGGUCGGAUUAGCUAGUUGGUGGGGUAAAGGCCUACCAAGGCGACGAUCCGUAACUGGUCUGAGAGGAUGAUCAGUCACACUGGAACUGAGACACGGUCCAGACUCCUACGGGAGGCAGCAGUGGGGAAUAUUGGACAAUGGGCGAAAGCCUGAUCCAGCCAUGCCGCGUGUGUGAAGAAGGUCCUCGGAUUGUAAAGCACUUUAAGUUGGGAGGAAGGGCAGUAAGUUAAUACCUUGCUGUUUUGACGUUACCAACAGAAUAAGCACCGGCUAACUUCGUG